Molecule: long non-coding RNA, 332 nt
Filed under: Dasypus novemcinctus (nine-banded armadillo)
Lineage: Eukaryota; Metazoa; Chordata; Mammalia; Cingulata; Dasypodidae
Description: lncRNA (ENSDNOG00000051710.1)
Source: RNAcentral
UAUUACAAAUCAUAAUCCAUUUAACUUUUUUACGUACCAACAGGAUAUGAAGUCAGCAAAAGUUAUGUGCUUUCCCAGCUGAAACAAGGAAAAGUGUGGAGAAAAGGAAUAGGAUUUUUUCAACAUCAGAGUCCAGGAAAAGUGUACUAAGCUCCAAACUUUAAUAUUUGUCAGAUGAGAAAUUUAAAGAUUUCACUGAAAAUGAAACAAUAUCUGUAUAAAGUCUGAGAUGGAAAAUAGUAAUAUUCAAGAACUAAAAGCUGUAUAGAAAGUGUUCACUGUGAAAUACUGCUUCUUUUCAUGUAUUUUUCAAGUACUUUAGAGGUAAGAAA